AGAGUUUGAUCCUGGCUCAGGACGAACGCUGGCGGCGCGCCUAACACAUGCAAGUCGAACGGAGCUUAAAGAGCUUGCUUUUUAAGCUUAGUGGCGAACGGGUGAGUAACGCGUGAGUAACCUGCCCUAGAGUGGGGGACAACAGUUGGAAACGACUGCUAAUACCGCAUAAGCCCACGGUACCGCAUGGUACUGAGGGAAAAGGAUAUAUUCGCUUUAGGAUGGACUCGCGUCCAAUUAGCUAGUUGGUGAGGUAACGGCCCACCAAGGCGACGAUUGGUAGCCGGACUGAGAGGUUGAACGGCCACAUUGGGACUGAGACACGGCCCAGACUCCUACGGGAGGCAGCAGUGGGGGAUAUUGCACAAUGGGGGAAACCCUGAUGCAGCGACGCCGCGUGGAGGAAGAAGGUUUUCGGAUUGUAAACUCCUGUCGUUAGGGACGAUAAUGACGGUACCUAACAAGAAAGCACCGGCUAACUACGUGCCAGCAGCCGCGGUAAAACGUAGGGUGCAAGCGUUGUCCGGAAUUACUGGGUGUAAAGGGAGCGCAGGCGGGAAGACAAGUUGGAAGUGAAAACCAUGGGUUCAACCCAUGAAUUGCUUUCAAAACUGUUUUUCUUGAGUAGUGCAGAGGUAGAUGGAAUUCCCGGUGUAGCGGUGGAAUGCGUAGAUAUCGGGAGGAACACCAGUGGCGAAGGCGGUCUACUGGGCACCAACUGACGCUGAGGCUCGAAAGCAUGGGUAGCAAACAGGAUUAGAUACCCUGGUAGUCCAUGCCGUAAACGAUGAUUACUAGGUGUUGGGGGAUUGACCCCCUCAGUGCCGCAGUUAACACAAUAAGUAAUCCACCUGGGGAGUACGACCGCAAGGUUGAAACUCAAAGGAAUUGACGGGGGCCCGCACAAGCAGUGGAGUAUGUGGUUUAAUUCGAAGCAACGCGAAGAACCUUACCAGGUCUUGACAUCCGAUGCAUAGCACAGAGAUGUGUGAAAUCCUUCGGGACAUCGAGACAGGUGGUGCAUGGUUGUCGUCAGCUCGUGUCGUGAGAUGUUGGGUUAAGUCCCGCAACGAGCGCAACCCUUAUUGCCAGUUACUACGUUAAGAGGACUCUGGCGAGACUGCCGUUGACAAAACGGAGGAAGGUGGGGAUGACGUCAAAUCAUCAUGCCCUUUAUGACCUGGGCUACACACGUACUACAAUGGCGUUAAACAAAGAGAAGUAAGACCGCGAGGUGGAGCAAAAUC
This 1247-nucleotide ribosomal RNA is filed under the name metagenome. RNAcentral describes it as "bacterial SSU rRNA". It matches the Rfam family "Bacterial small subunit ribosomal RNA", at positions 8 to 1273 of the family's 1533-position model. The record is from RNAcentral.